GUGAGGAAUUUUCCGCAAUGGGCGAAAGCCUGACGGAGCAAUGCCGCGUGAAGGAUGAAGGCCUAUGGGUUGUAAACUUCUUUUCUCAGAAAAGAAUUAUGACGGUAUCUGAGGAAUAAGCAUCGGCUAACUCUGUGCCAGCAGCCGCGGUAAGACAGAGGAUGCAAGCGUUAUCCGGAAUGAUUGGGCGUAAAGCGUCUGUAGGUUGUUUAAAAAGUAUUCUGUCAAAGAUUAGGGCUUAACCCUAGAUAGGCAGAAUAAACUUUUAAGCUAGAGUUUGGUAGAGGCAGAGGGAAUGCCCGGUGGAGCGGUGAAAUGCGUAGAUAUCGGGAGGAACACCAAAGGCGAAGGCACUCUGCUGGGCCAAUACUAACACUGAGAGACGAAAGCGAGGGGAGCAAAUGGGAUUAGAAACCCGGGUAGUCC
Molecule: ribosomal RNA, 426 nt
Filed under: uncultured bacterium
Lineage: Bacteria
Description: partial 16S ribosomal RNA
Rfam family: Bacterial small subunit ribosomal RNA
Source: RNAcentral